Molecule: small nuclear RNA, 163 nt
Filed under: Propithecus coquereli (Coquerel's sifaka)
Lineage: Eukaryota; Metazoa; Chordata; Mammalia; Primates; Indriidae
Description: U1 spliceosomal RNA (ENSPCOG00000006883.1)
Rfam family: U1 spliceosomal RNA
About the family: U1 is a small nuclear RNA (snRNA) component of the spliceosome (involved in pre-mRNA splicing). Its 5' end forms complementary base pairs with the 5' splice junction, thus defining the 5' donor site of an intron.
Source: Rfam by way of RNAcentral
AUAGUUACCUGGCAGGGGAGAUAACCUGAUAACAAAGGUGGUUUUCCCAGGGCAAGGCUUAUCCAUUGCACUCUGGAUGUCUGAUCCCUGCGAUUUCCCCAAAUGUGGGAAACUUGACUGCAUAAUUUGUGUUAGUGGGGGACUAUGUUUGCACACUCCCCUG